Molecule: ribosomal RNA, 166 nt
Filed under: uncultured Nitrosomonas sp.
Lineage: Bacteria; Pseudomonadati; Pseudomonadota; Betaproteobacteria; Nitrosomonadales; Nitrosomonadaceae
Description: partial 16S ribosomal RNA
Rfam family: Bacterial small subunit ribosomal RNA
Source: RNAcentral
CAGGCUGGCUGGGCGCAGCCUGAUCAGCCUGCCGCGUGAGUGAAGAAGGCCUUCGGGUUGUAAAGCUCUUUCAGUUGAGAAGAAAAGAUUGUAACUAAUAAUUGCAAUCCAUGACGGUAUCGACAGAAGAAGCACCGGCUAACUACGUGCCAGCAGCCGCGGUAAU